Molecule: ribosomal RNA, 517 nt
Filed under: uncultured bacterium
Lineage: Bacteria
Description: bacterial SSU rRNA
Rfam family: Bacterial small subunit ribosomal RNA
Source: RNAcentral
AGAGUUUGAUCCUGGCUCAGGACGAACGCUGGCGGCGUGCCUAAUACAUGCAAGUCGAGCGGGGAUUAUGCUUGAUCCCUUCGGUGAGACGGCAUAUAUCCUAGCGGCGGACGGGUGAGUAACGCGUGGGUAAUCUACCUCGUAGUUCGGGAUAACAGGCCGAAAGGCUUGCUAAUACCGGAUGAGUUCAUGCUUAUGCAUAUAGGCAUGAAGAAAGGGCUAGCCCGCUAUGAGAUGAGCCCGCGUCCCAUUAGCUUGUUGGUGGGGUAAUGGCCUACCAAGGCAACGAUGGGUAGCCGGCCUGAGAGGGUGUACGGCCACACUGGGACUGAGACACGGCCCAGACUCCUACGGGGGGCAGCAGUAGGGAAUUUUCGGCAAUGGGCGAAAGCCUGACCGAGCGACGCCGCGUGAGGGACGAAGGCCUUCGGGUUGUAAACCUCUGUCUGGGGGGAUGAGAACGGACGGUACCCCCGGAGGAAGCCCCGGCUAACUACGUGCCAGCAGCCGCGGUAAU